This 168-nucleotide ribosomal RNA is filed under the name uncultured Nitrospirota bacterium. RNAcentral describes it as "uncultured Nitrospirae bacterium partial 16S ribosomal RNA". It matches the Rfam family "Bacterial small subunit ribosomal RNA", at positions 340 to 525 of the family's 1533-position model. Lineage: Bacteria; Pseudomonadati; Nitrospirota. The record is from RNAcentral.
UACGGGAGGCAGCAGUGGGGAAUUUUGCGCAAUGGGCGAAAGCCUGACGCAGCGACGCCGCGUGGAGGAUGAAGGUCUUCGGAUUGUAAACUCCUUUUGCAGGGGAAGAUAAUGACGGUACCCUGCGAAUAAGCCACGGCUAACUCUGUGCCAGCAGCCGCGGUAAUA